RNAcentral lists this long non-coding RNA (658 nucleotides) under Homo sapiens (human). RNAcentral's name for it is "non-protein coding lnc-HSD11B1-4:8". The record is from RNAcentral. Lineage: Eukaryota; Metazoa; Chordata; Mammalia; Primates; Hominidae.
GAGAGAGCCCAUGGCGUCUCGGGCCUAAAGAGAGGUGGAAUUUCAAGACCUCACAAGCGUCCCACUUGGCCUGGUUGGAAAAAGCCAGAGAAAAGAUAGGAAAACCGGUCACUGCCCUUUCUCUGGAAAACUUGCUCUCAUUGAUGGCUCCUCCGCCCCCUCCCCUACACAGAUACACCCUACACAAAACUCCAGGCUGGAAGAACAAAACCCCUACCUGGGCAAAAGGGGCAAGUCUACAAAGGGAGGGGACAAAAAAGUGGCAGGGAAGCUGUAGCUACUAAGCUGAAAUACUGAAAAACCGAGAAACAGAUUGGCUCUUCAUGCCGGCCUUGCUCCCCUCUCGCCCUUGAGAUUAGCAUCUUUCUUGGAAUGUCGAAAAUACCAUUAGACAGCCCCAGCUUAUGAAUAAAUAGAAUGUGACUUUCUGGGAAGCUCCCUUACACCCCCUGCCGCCCUCACUCUGCUUUAAUAUCUCUCCGUUUCUUGCUUUCUUAAAGAAGUUCUCAUCUUGAGUCUAGUAUGUACGUGUGCAUGUGGAAAUGUAUGUAUGCAGGUGGAGGUGUGUGUGUGGAGAUGGAAGUGUGUAUGUCCAGAUGGAAUUGUGCGUGUGCAUGUGGAGGUGUGUGUGCACAUGUGAAGGUGUGUGUAUAUGGAG